UACGUAGGUGGCAAGCGUUGUCCGGAUUUACUGGGCGUAAAGGGCGUGCAGCCGGGCUGACAAGUCAGAUGUGAAAUCCCGCGGCUCAACCGCGGAACUGCAUUUGAAACUGUUAGUCUUGAGUACCGGAGAGGUCAUCGGAAUUCCUUGUGUAGCGGUGAAAUGCGUAGAUAUAAGGAAGAACACCAGUGGCGAAGGCGGAUGACUGGACGGCAACUGACGGUGAGGCGCGAAAGCGUGGGGAGCAAACAGG
This 253-nucleotide ribosomal RNA is filed under the name uncultured bacterium. RNAcentral's name for it is "partial 16S ribosomal RNA". It matches the Rfam family "Bacterial small subunit ribosomal RNA", at positions 524 to 776 of the family's 1533-position model. The record is from RNAcentral.